UAGGGAAUCUUCCACAAUGGACGGAAAGUCUGAUGGAGCAACGCCGCGUGAGUGAAGAAGGGUUUCGGCUCGUAAAACUCUGUUGUUAAAGAAGAACAUAUCUGAGAGUAACUGUUCAGGUAUUGACGGUAUUUAACCAGAAAGCCACGGCUAACUACGUGCCA
RNAcentral lists this ribosomal RNA (164 nucleotides) under uncultured bacterium. RNAcentral's name for it is "partial 16S ribosomal RNA". It matches the Rfam family "Bacterial small subunit ribosomal RNA", at positions 355 to 510 of the family's 1533-position model. The record is from RNAcentral.